GAAAAUAAAUAGAAUUUAAAGGCUGAAUUUGAAAAUUAAAAAUGAGAAAAGGAGCAAAUUAAAUCACGCGUAACAGAAGGAGGACCAAAAGAGCAAAUUAUCCAAACCGCUCAAGCACUGCGCAGCAACAUGGAUUGAACUAAAAACAGCAUUAAAAUAUAUUGCGUAAUUUAAAAAUAUAAAAAAAAACUGAUUUAAUCACCCAAAAAAAACAAAGGACCAAUAGUGCAAAUGGCCCAUUUUGAACCCAUUUCAAAACCCAAAACUCAUUUCCCCUCUGCCAUUUGAAGAUUUGCGCCGCAGCCUCUUUUCGCUUUCGCUCCAAAUCCUUUCCAUUUCCGACCAGAAGUCGAUGAAUCCGGGACACCCUCCGACGAUUCAGAACGGUAAGUCCUCCUCCCCUCACCCUUUUCGUGUUUUGUUCUUAGAAAGAAGGAAGAAAAACCACAAAACAAACAAAAAGAAAAACAAUCAAAUAAUAAAAGAUCCCAGAAAACAAAAUUAAUCACCUCUCAAAUCCUUGCUUUUCUAUUUUUCCUCUUUAUUUCCUUUAAUUUUCAAUACCAAAAUUUGCCAACCCUUUUUCAAAGAUUAAUCUCCUUUAUAUAGCCCUCUAAUUAUUUUUACAAGUUUUCUUUUGCUCCCCCCCUUGUUGAUGUCGUUCGUGGCUCAUUGUAGGCGUGGGCGUUGUGCGAGGACGCGGGGCGGUUACUGCGACGUGCGUGCUGAAACUGCUGCAACAGAGGCUGCUUCUAAGUUUCUGCUGUUUUGUUUUUGUUAUGGGCUAAUAUUUGGGCUAAUUUGGGUUUAAUCUAGGCUUGGGUUAAUUGGGUUUAGUAAUGGGCUAUUAGCUUUUUAGUCAGGCCAAAAUUGGCCUAUUACAUUAUUCACAGCAAUUAGAAUGAAUAGUUAUUCCAUCUAUACCUUUUAUUUCAUUAUUUAGUUUAAUUGAAUGAGUGAAACGGCCAGGUAGUAUUGUGGCCUCAUUUCAGUCUCUCACGGAAUAUCCAUUCCGUGCUAUAAUUAAAGAAUAGCCGUCAAAUAUUUUUUUUAUUCAAAAAUAUUCCAAACUAAAAACAUCAUAUUAACCAUAAUUUCAGUUUAUGAAUUAUAGCUAUGGAAGAAAAAAUAAGAAGAAAUAAAAAUUGAAACCCAAUCAUUACGAUUAAAUGCUUUCCCAACUUCGAAUUCAUCCAACAAUGUUGUUUUCACAGCUUCACUCUUACAUGUUCCAAACCCAGUAACGAAAUUUUAAAAAAUAAAACAAAACAAAAUAACCCAAAUCAGAAAGACAAAAAAAUUGUGAUGGACAAUGGGAGAUUAACAUAGGGGAGACUUUCAUGUAUGAAUCUAUAGGUUUUGGUGAGCUUUUAGGACAAAUUAAGCAAAAAAAAUUGAAAGAGUAGGUGGAGAUAAAGCUUUGGAGAGGAAGAUACAUGAGAAAAAAAGAGGACCAGAGGAGAAAGAGAAAAAGAAAGAAAUAGAUAAAACUCUAGAGAAAAGAAAGAGAUAAAAUCUCUAGAAAGCUCUAAUGGUUUUAAGAUCAAUUGGAUUAAUUAAGGUCUCUAAAAAGCUCUAAUGGUUUUAUUUAUUAUUGCAUUUAUUUUUCUUUAUUAUAGUCUUUUUUUAUUUUUUUUAUUUUCGGUAAGGCUGCUCUUUUGUUGUUUUGUUUUGUUUGGUUGUAUUUUUUUCCAUUUUAUAUUAAAUAAAUCCAAUUGGUUAUAUUCAAAAGAAAAAUAUAUAAUAAAAUAAUUUCAAAUAUAAUUUUUAGAUUUAUUUUUAAAUUUAGAAAAUUAAAUUUAUUGUUAAAUAAUGUUUUUAUUAUUAAAUAUAAAAUGUUAAAUUAUUUAUUUUCAAAUACUAUUUUUUUG
This 1871-nucleotide long non-coding RNA is filed under the name Gossypium raimondii (Peruvian cotton). RNAcentral's name for it is "long non-coding RNA (GRAI_LNC000293)". Lineage: Eukaryota; Viridiplantae; Streptophyta; Magnoliopsida; Malvales; Malvaceae. The record is from RNAcentral.